AUCCCGGGCAGAACGUCUGAUUCUUGGAAAGCCAAUAUGGAAGAUUUGUGGGAUGUUUCGCUGAUAAAUACCUUUUUAAUUUAAACUCCGGAGGUGUUUUAAUAGUAGCUUUCCAUACAUUU
Molecule: small nucleolar RNA, 122 nt
Organism: Papaver somniferum (opium poppy)
Lineage: Eukaryota; Viridiplantae; Streptophyta; Magnoliopsida; Ranunculales; Papaveraceae
Source: RefSeq, a predicted model, not a curated record